AUACGGAGGAUCCGAGCGUUAUCCGGAUUUAUUGGGUUUAAAGGGAGCGUAGGCGGACGCUUAAGUCAGUUGUGAAAGUUUGCGGCUCAACCGUAAAAUUGCAGUUGAUACUAGGUGUCUUGAGUACAGUAGAGGCAGGCGGAAUUCGUGGUGUAGCGGUGAAAUGCUUAGAUAUCACGAAGAACUCCGAUUGCGAAGGCAGACUGCUGGACUGUAACUGACGCUGAUGCUCGAAAGUGUGGGUAUCAAACAGGAUUAGAUACCCUGGUAGUCCACACAGUAAACGAUGAAUACUCGCUGUUUGCGAUAUACAGUAAGCGGCCAAGCGAAAGCGUUAAGUAUUCCACCUGGGGAGUACGCCGGCAACGGUGAAACUCAAAUGAAUUGACGGGG
Molecule: ribosomal RNA, 393 nt
Filed under: uncultured bacterium
Lineage: Bacteria
Description: partial 16S ribosomal RNA
Rfam family: Bacterial small subunit ribosomal RNA
Source: RNAcentral